This 865-nucleotide ribosomal RNA is filed under the name Ganoderma subangustisporum. RNAcentral's name for it is "Ganoderma sp. YFS-2021j partial large subunit ribosomal RNA". It matches the Rfam family "Eukaryotic large subunit ribosomal RNA", at positions 78 to 930 of the family's 3401-position model. The record is from RNAcentral. Lineage: Eukaryota; Fungi; Basidiomycota; Agaricomycetes; Polyporales; Polyporaceae.
CCCUAGUAACUGCGAGUGAAGCGGGAAAAGCUCAAAUUUAAAAUCUGGCGGUCUUUGGCCGUCCGAGUUGUAGUCUGGAGAAGUGCUUUCCGCGCUGGACCGUGUAUAAGUCUCUUGGAACAGAGCGUCAUAGAGGGUGAGAAUCCCGUCUUUGACACGGACUACCAGUGCUUUGUGAUGCGCUCUCAAAGAGUCGAGUUGUUUGGGAAUGCAGCUCAAAAUGGGUGGUGAAUUCCAUCUAAAGCUAAAUAUUGGCGAGAGACCGAUAGCGAACAAGUACCGUGAGGGAAAGAUGAAAAGCACUUUGGAAAGAGAGUUAAACAGUACGUGAAAUUGCUGAAAGGGAAACGCUUGAAGUCAGUCGCGUCGUCCGGAACUCAGCCUUGCUUUUGCUUGGUGCACUUUCCGGUUGACGGGUCAGCAUCGAUUUUGACCGUCGGAAAAGGGCUGGAGUAAUGUGGCACCUCCGGGUGUGUUAUAGACUCUGGUCGCAUACGGCGGUUGGGAUCGAGGAACGCAGCGCGCCGCAAGGCAGGGGUUCGCCCACUUUCGCGCUUAGGAUGCUGGCAUAAUGGCUUUAAACGACCCGUCUUGAAACACGGACCAAGGAGUCUAACAUACCUGCGAGUGUUUGGGUGGAAAACCCGAGCGCGCAAUGAAAGUGAAAGUUGAGACCCCUGUCGUGGGGGGCAUCGACGCCCGGACCUGACGUUCUCUGACGGAUCCGCGGUAGAGCAUGUAUGUUGGGACCCGAAAGAUGGUGAACUAUGCCUGAAUAGGGUGAAGCCAGAGGAAACUCUGGUGGAGGCUCGUAGCGAUUCUGACGUGCAAAUCGAUCGUCAAAUUUGGGUAUAGGGGCGAAAGA